GUAGUUAUGAGCUUGAAAAUUAAAGAAGAUGGCGGUAUUUUAGUCUAUUCAGAGGAACCUGUCCUGUAAACGAUGAUCCACGAUUUAUUUUACUUAUUUUAUAAGUUUGCAUAUCGCCGUAGAUGGAAUGUCCUUUAAGGGUUUAUAAACAUUCAAGAGGUUUUUAUUUGUGAAAGUAAAUCAGGUCAAGAUGUAGCUGAUAAAUAAGAAGAGAUGGGUUACAAUAAAUUUAUUUAUAACGGAUUAAUAUAUGAAAUUUAUUAUAAAGGUGGAUUUGAAGGUAAUUUUAUANAAAUUUAUUAAAUGAUUCUAGCUCUAA
This 319-nucleotide ribosomal RNA is filed under the name Galapaganus conwayensis. Its description in RNAcentral is "partial 12S ribosomal RNA". The record is from RNAcentral. Lineage: Eukaryota; Metazoa; Arthropoda; Insecta; Coleoptera; Curculionidae.